AUUGAACGCUGGCGGCAUGCCUUACACAUGCAAGUCGAACGGCAGCACGGGGGCAACCCUGGUGGCGAGUGGCGAACGGGUGAGUAAUAUAUCGGAACGUACCCUAGAGUGGGGGAUAACGUAGCGAAAGUUACGCUAAUACCGCAUACGAUCUACGGAUGAAAGUGGGGGCUCGCAAGACCUCAUGCUCGUGGAGCGGCCGAUAUCUGAUUAGCUAGUUGGUGAGGUAAAGGCUCACCAAGGCGACGAUCAGUAGCUGGUCUGAGAGGACGACCAGCCACACUGGGACUGAGACACGGCCCAGACUCCUACGGGAGGCAGCAGUGGGGAAUUUUGGACAAUGGGGGCAACCCUGAUCCAGCAAUGCCGCGUGAGUGAAGAAGGCCUUCGGGUUGUAAAGCUCUUUUGUCAGGGAAGAAACGGUGAAGGCUAA
This 433-nucleotide ribosomal RNA is filed under the name uncultured bacterium. RNAcentral describes it as "bacterial SSU rRNA". It matches the Rfam family "Bacterial small subunit ribosomal RNA", at positions 30 to 463 of the family's 1533-position model. The record is from RNAcentral.